This 67-nucleotide transfer RNA is filed under the name Dugong dugon (dugong). RNAcentral's name for it is "transfer RNA-Tyr". It matches the Rfam family "tRNA". Rfam says of the family: Transfer RNA (tRNA) molecules are approximately 80 nucleotides in length. Their secondary structure includes four short double-helical elements and three loops (D, anti-codon, and T loops). Lineage: Eukaryota; Metazoa; Chordata; Mammalia; Sirenia; Dugongidae. The record is from RNAcentral.
GGUAAAAUGGCUGAGUAAAGCAUUAGACUGUAAAUCUAAGUACAGGAGUUUAACCUCCUUUUUAUCA